UUUCCGGCAGGGGCGGUGCGAGGAGGCAGCCCAGAUCCACACAGGGAGCGCCGGAGGGUCGGGCAGGAGCCAGGAGAGGCUUGGCCUUUCCCGGAACCUUGAAAACGCUCAUUUUAAGUUACUCUCUGGAACAGUUUCACGCAGGUGGCUCGCAUGUCCUGUCCUGCCAGGGAAGUGGAAGCAAUUCUGUGGUCUGGAAACUUCCGUCUCUAAGUGGUCGCUGUCGAGCGGUGGUUGGAUCCAGGAACAUUUCCUGAGGUCAAACUCAACACGCUGCACUGGUCCACAGACUCAGGGAGAAGACCUGAGGGCGUCGGAGGCUAAAGGACUAAGGCGUGUGACGUUUAUCCUGCCAUCACAAAAAUAAAGAGAUGAGAGAUAAGUUUCUCUAUUUUUUUUUAACAUAUUUUCCCAAAUAGAUGUUUUUCUCUAGUUUAGAGUUUUGGGGGGGGGGUAAUUAGGUUUCUUUCUUUUUUUUUUAGAGGAGGUACUGGGGAUUGAACCCAGGACCUCAUGCAUGCUAAACAUGUGCACUUUGAACUAUACCCUCCCCCACCAAAGCUUCUCUUUAUUGAAGUGAUGAAUAAUCUGUUGUUUUCUUUGACCUGGGACAGAGAACUGCAUGUAUAUUCUCAUUGACUUUGGACAUGUAGACGGCACAUACACAUGCGGAUGAAGUGGGUAUUAUGUUAAAACUCUUCUGAUACACCCUUACUUGCUGGAAUGUCUUCACGUAAUUCCGUGUGAGGACCUGUUGUGGAUGCAGUGAAUCUAAAUUAGUAAACAAUAGUUGAGCUCAAUUACACAAGAAAUUAUCUAAGAAAUAAUCGUCCUUCCACAUCAGCACUAUUCGGGAAAAAUAAUUACAAGCAAAACUAGAAUCUCCUGACCCAGAAAUUUCCUCCAAGUAGUAGAAUGGAAGGAAAACAGCUUUAUUACUGAAUAAUCUAUAACCAGCAUAUGAUGGGGAUAAUAGCCAUCACUAACAGAUUGCAAAGACACAAAGAAAUCCCACCCUUUUAUGCGACCUACCACCUACAUCUUUCCAAGAUAAGUAAGACCUAGUACUCAAGUAAGAGGUCAUGACAGCACCAUUGGUAACACCUAGUUCAUCUUAGCAUUACUUGGAAAAUGGGAAUGACAAUCUAUGUAAGCCUAUAAACUUCAUACAUAGAAAAGUGGAAAAAAAAAGACAUCCUGGGAGCCAUGAGUAGUAGAUCUGAACUAUUCUCUGAACUCACUAUGGAGACAUUGGCUUAUGCUUUUUUUAAUUGCAUCAUUUGCAUACAAUAAAAUUCACACUUUGCAAAUGAAUGAAAACAGUGGGAUUUAGUACGUUUACCACUUGUUUGUCACUUUGUCUAACCACAAUAUUAUCAUUCAUCACCACCCCUUAAAAGACCCAUAUCCUUUAGCAGUUAUUUUGAACUCCACCCCCAUCAUAAGCAAACAAUAAGCUACUUCCCAUCUCUAUGGAUAUGGCUAUUUGGGGCAUUUAAUAGAAAUUAAUUUAUACAAUAUGUGGCCUUAUUUCAACCUUCUUUCACUUUCAGGGGUCAUCAAUGUUGUAACAGUUACCAGUACCUCAUAACUUUUUAUUGCUGAGUAGUAACAUUCCAGUUUUUUAUCCAUUCGUCACUUGAUGGAGCUUUGGGUUCCUUCUACAUUUUGGCUAUUAUGAGAAAAGUUUCGAUCAACAAUCUUUAACAAGGUGUUUUUGUGGAUAAGCGUUCUCAAAUCUCUUGGAUAUUUUUGUAAAAGUGGAAUUGCUGGGUUUUAUAUUCUAAUUUGUCAGAAAUACAGAUUUGACCAUUCAGAUGACUGAUGCGUUACUUCUCAUACCCUAGUUAGCAAAAGUGAUCUCAUGCCCUUGCCUUAUUGCAAGGAGACAAUUAGGGAAAUACAUGACUAGGCAUAAGAAGGUAGUAAAAGGGUGAGGAAAGUCAUUAGGCUGAAGUGGUCUCCAUCAUACAUAAAGAGCAAAGUGUAAAAUAUGAUAUAUAGCAUCUUUUUUGUUGUAAAAAUUAUACUUUAAAAAAAGAACAGGCUUGGCAACAUUGUAAUGUGGAUACUUGUAGUACAUUUUUUAAUUUAUUUUUGACAUUUGGGGCUCAGUAAUAUUUUAUAUGUGGACAAUGAAUUUAAAAAGGAAAUUCAAAAAUAUUAAGUUAUUAAUAUUAAAAUAAAUUCAGAGAUGAUAUUUGAAUAUUUCCCAACUGCAAGCCUUUUGUAUAUCUCUUGCUUUCAGGCAGGAUGGCAUGAAUAAAUAACAUCUCAAGAUGGAUUCUUUUAUUUCUGACAUUGAUUAUUAGAAAAUUAUUUUUAACUGUGUUUGGAUUCAGAUAGAGAAGAAAGGAAGUAAAUCUGUAAGUUAGAAAAUACUAAGGUCUCUAAUAAUUUUUGCCUAUCAUUUGGAACAUGGGGCAGAGUGGCCAUGUGUUACAUGGAAUGUUAUACUAUCAGGAUAAAGAACAAAGUCUGUUGAUAUAAUCUGUCCCUAUCACCCCCUUUACCUUUCUCUGUUCAUGAGGUAGAAAUAUGAAAUUCAAAAAUUCACAUUUCUUUUAAAAAUUAUGGUGGCAAUUUAACACAAUGAGCUAAUAAAUAGUUGGAAAAAAUGUUUGGGAUUACUUUUUCCAUGAAAAUGAGACAAAAUCUAAAAUUGAAAAGGGUUUUGCCUCUCAAACCUUGCUCUUCCUAGUCAUACAGGAGCCAUGUUGCUGUAAGAAAUGUGAAGACUUAAGUAGAGGCUCAUGGCGGGAGAAGGGGCAGAGGACCCGUCACAGCGCACACUGCGCCCUCUGCACUUCCUGUCAGGUGCCGUGUGAGGAAAGGUCAGGACGGAGAGAGGGUCCGAAUGGAGCACGGGGCACAUGCACACGUGGGAGCACGUGCACACGUGGGAGCACAGCCUGAGACUGCGCGUCUGUGUGACUGUAACUGAAUCAUUCACAUCUGCACCUAACGUACUGAUCUUGAGAGAAAAGAACUGGUUUAGCAAGUAGCAUGCUACUGGCCCAUUUUUAACUAUGGGAAUUAUACCAUGUGUAUGUCAGGGAAAUGAAAGGGAUUUCAGUGCUGUUGGGAGACAGUAGAUUUGCAUCUAUUGCUCUAUACGCUAUGCAACGUAUCUAAUGGAAUACUCCAGAGGUUCCAUUUCCGUGCAUAUAUUCAAGAAAAACACAGUAUUCCAGCACAUUGUAUAAGAAUGUUCUUAGCAGAAACCAGAAGAUAAAACCAGGAAAAGGUCAACAAAGUGAGACGGAUGAGUUUAUUCUGUACACACAUAUGCAGAUCAAAGGAAGUGUACCAACAAUACCAUAAAGAUCAUGAUUUCAGAAUGAAGAUCCUGGCUGGGUGAGCAGAGUUUCAUGGGCAAACAAGACUAGCAGAAGAUGUCUGCCAAAGUCUGAGUAAUUCAAGAACAUGAUCACAUUAGUUAACUAAGUAGAGGAAACGAACAAACAAAAAAGAAAUGUUUUAACUAAAAAAUUAAUUACAUAACAUACUUCAAAAAAAGUAAUGUAUUGACUUUGGCAUAUAAAAUGUUUAUGCUAACACUGCUUAUUAUUAAACAUGACUGAGUU
This is a long non-coding RNA of Camelus dromedarius (Arabian camel), 3587 nucleotides long. RefSeq lists it as uncharacterized. The transcript is spliced from 4 exons. The record is from RefSeq and is a predicted model, not a curated record. Lineage: Eukaryota; Metazoa; Chordata; Mammalia; Artiodactyla; Camelidae.